AUUGAACGCUGGCGGCAGGCCUAACACAUGCAAGUCGAGCGGAGCGGCGGACGGGUGAGUAAUGCCUAGGAAUCUGCCUGGUAGUGGGGGAUAACGUCCGCAAACGGGCGCUAAUACCGCAUCCUAUCAGAUGAGCCUAGUGCGGAUUAGCUAGUUGGUGGGGUAAAGGCCUACCAAGGCGACGAUCAGUAACUGGUCUGAGAGGAUGAUCAGUCACACUGGAACUUAGACACGGUCCAGACUCCGACGGGAGGCAGCAGUGGGGAAUAUGGGACAAUGGGCGAAAGCCUGAUGCAGCCAUGCCGCGUGUGUGAAGAAGGUCUUCGGAUUGUAAAGCACUUUAAGUUGGGAGGCGUUACCAGCAGAAUAAGCACCGGCUAACUUCGUGCCAGCCGCCGCGGUAAUAC
RNAcentral lists this ribosomal RNA (407 nucleotides) under uncultured bacterium. RNAcentral describes it as "partial 16S ribosomal RNA". It matches the Rfam family "Bacterial small subunit ribosomal RNA", at positions 30 to 526 of the family's 1533-position model. The record is from RNAcentral.